This is a non-coding RNA of Pelobates cultripes (western spadefoot toad), 202 nucleotides long. Lineage: Eukaryota; Metazoa; Chordata; Amphibia; Anura; Pelobatidae. The record is from the annotation of a GenBank genome assembly.
CAUUCAAUCACCCACACGAGGAAAAAAUAUUUAAUAAACGGCUAUUACACUUGUGAUUCUAGCUUUGUUGUGUAUAUAUACUCAAAUGUCCAUGUGGAUAUAUCUUUGUCGGGGAAACUACCACAAAAAUUAAGGACCAUCUAGCCAAACAUAAAUCCAAUAUAUGAAUGUGGAAAAUGGAACUGCCAGUUCAAAAACAUUU